GCCAGGCACUGUGGCCCAUGCCUGUAAUCCCAGCAGCUUGGGAGGCUGAGGUAGGAGGAUCACAAGUUCAAAGUCAGCUUCAGCAACUUAAUGGGACCCUGUCUCAA
This 107-nucleotide small RNA is filed under the name Marmota monax (woodchuck). Lineage: Eukaryota; Metazoa; Chordata; Mammalia; Rodentia; Sciuridae. The record is from RNAcentral.